CUCAGGAGAUCAUGACCUGAGCCAAAAUCAGAAACUUUACGGACUGAGCCACCAAGGCACCCCCAUAAAGUUUACCAGAACUUUAAAAUACAGAUUUAUGAAAUGCUGGGGUGUUGUUUGUGCUGAUGAUUAGUGUAGGAUGGUAUUCUAGUUAUAACUUUACUAAAUGUUAGAUUGAACAAAUAUAUUUCCCUGUGAGUCCCCUGCAUUCUACAUUUUCUAAGCAGGGACUUUUAGGUUUGCAGUUCAGGGAAGGAAUUAAAUAACCCUACAAAAAAGUUUCUGGGUAACUUAUAAAUUCAAUGAUUUUCAUUUCCUUGUGUGAAAAUAGAAAGAAUGUUCGUAUUUUAUUUACUAGCAUUGGUAGUCAAAGCCUUCUCACUUGAGAUCCAUGCAGAUGUGAGAGUUCUCCCACUUGUCUGAGGGCCAUGGCGUGUUCCUGAAAGGGGGUUGGGGGGUUGCAUGCAGGUGCAUCGGGAUUUUGUGGUCAGGGUCUCUGGUAAGACUGGAGUCUCUUGGCUUCUCUCUCCUUGCCCAGCUUUUCCUCCUAACUUCUUGGACUGUCCGUGAGUGGGGAGAUCCAGAGGAGGCGAGGUGGUGGCUGAAUUCCUGAGAAUGCAACUGCAGAAAAACAGGAUUAACAUCCAGAGAACUGCUACCACGAGAAUUGGUGUUAAGAAUGGAGAGCUCGCUGCCAGAGGGAUCACUCUGGGGCUGUCCUUCAGAAGAGCCAUCUCAGGAGUCCCACGCUCUCCUGCAGGACCUGUCUGCCUUCAUAGACUCUAAAGAACAAGUGAGUUCUGUAAGAUGACAGAUCCUCACCCUGCUGACCGUAGGUUCUUUGUCAUUGUUGUCAUCCUGGAGAGUGCUGGGCAUUGCUUCAUGAUUCUCUACCUGUUAAUAUGAACGGACCUAUCACGAGUAUGUGUUCAGUGUUUGCUGUAAAAAAAGUGUCUGCACAUUAGUUCUUUGAAAAUCUCAACAUCACUAUUGAUAAAUUUUUUUAAGUUGUUUUUUUCCCCAUUAACUUCUACAAAUGUGGGGCUCAAACUCCUGACGCUGAGAUCAGGAGUCACAUGCUCUUCCAACUGAGCCAGCUAGGUGCCCAUUGCUACUGUUUAAUCUAGGUUAUAAUCACUAACCACUAACUAGGAAUUCAAAAUUUCCAGUUUAUUGGGAAAUUGCCAGGUUCUUUCACAUUGAGAUUACUGUAUAAUGAAGUAAUUGUGUGCUUACUGUGUAUUUCUGUUUGAAUGUGUCUGAAAGACACAGGGCAGACCAGCAUGGGAGUUUGAACCACAAAUGGAGUUUGACCUUUCUUUUCUUCUUUUUUUUUUAUUUAUUUUUUAU
Molecule: long non-coding RNA, 1350 nt
Filed under: Canis lupus dingo (dingo)
Lineage: Eukaryota; Metazoa; Chordata; Mammalia; Carnivora; Canidae
Description: lncRNA (ENSCAFG00020018516.1)
Source: RNAcentral